CUACGGGCGUCAGCAGUGGGGAAUAUUGGGCAAUGGACGCAAGUCUGACCCAGCAACGCCGCGUGAAGGAAGAAGGCUUUCGGGUUGUAAACUUCUUUUAAGGGGGAUGAGCAGAAGACGGUACCCCUUGAAUAAGCCACGGCUAACUACGUGCCAGCAGCCGCGGUAAUACGUAGGUGGCAAGCGUUGUCCGGAUUUACUGGGUGUAAAGGGCGUGCAGCCGGAGAGACAAGUCAGAUGUGAAAUCCACGGGCGCAACCCGUGAACUGCAUUUGAAACUGUUUCCCUUGAGUGUCGGAGAGGUAAUCGGAAUUACUUGUGUAGCGGUGAAAUGCGUAGAUAUUAGGAGGAACACCAGUGGCGAAGGCGGCCUGCUGGGCUUUUACUGACGCUGAGGCUCGAAAGUGUGGGGAGCGAAAGGGAUUAGAUACCCGUGUAGUC
This 441-nucleotide ribosomal RNA is filed under the name uncultured bacterium. RNAcentral's name for it is "partial 16S ribosomal RNA". It matches the Rfam family "Bacterial small subunit ribosomal RNA", at positions 339 to 795 of the family's 1533-position model. The record is from RNAcentral.